RNAcentral lists this ribosomal RNA (492 nucleotides) under uncultured bacterium. RNAcentral describes it as "partial 16S ribosomal RNA". It matches the Rfam family "Bacterial small subunit ribosomal RNA", at positions 29 to 507 of the family's 1533-position model. The record is from RNAcentral.
AGUGAACGCUGGCGGUAGACCUAACACAUGCAAGUCGAACGGCAGCACAGUAAGAGCUUGCUCUUACGGGUGGCGAGUGGCGGACGGGUGAGGAAUACAUCGGAAUCUACUUUUUCGUGGGGGAUAACGUAGGGAAACUUACGCUAAUACCGCAUACGACCUACGGGUGAAAGCAGGGGAUCUUCGGACCUUGCGCGAUUGAAUGAGCCGAUGUCGGAUUAGCUAGUUGGCGGGGUAAAGGCCCACCAAGGCGACGAUCCGUAGCUGGUCUGAGAGGAUGAUCAGCCACACUGGAACUGAGACACGGUCCAGACUCCUACGGGAGACAGCAGUGGGGAAUAUUGGACAAUGGGCGCAAGCCUGAUCCAGCCAUACCGCGUGGGUGAAGAAGGCCUUCGGGUUGUAAAGCCCUUUUGUUGGGAAAGAAAAGCAGCAGGUUAAUACCCCGCUGUUCUGACGGUACCCAAAGAAUAAGCACCGGCUAACUUCGUG